CUACAGAAGAAGCACCGGCUAACUCCGUGCCAGCAGCCGCGGUAAUACGGAGGGUGCGAGCGUUAAUCGGAAUAACUGGGCGUAAAGGGCACGCAGGCGGUGACUUAAGUGAGGUGUGAAAGCCCCGGGCUUAACCUGGGAAUUGCAUUUCAUACUGGGUCGCUAGAGUACUUUAGGGAGGGGUAGAAUUCCACGUGUAGCGGUGAAAUGCGUAGAGAUGUGGAGGAAUACCGAAGGCGAAGGCAGCCCCUUGGGAAUGUACUGACGCUCAUGUGCGAAAGCGUGGGGAGCA
Molecule: ribosomal RNA, 292 nt
Filed under: Vibrio cholerae
Lineage: Bacteria; Pseudomonadati; Pseudomonadota; Gammaproteobacteria; Vibrionales; Vibrionaceae
Description: partial 16S ribosomal RNA
Rfam family: Bacterial small subunit ribosomal RNA
Source: RNAcentral